RNAcentral lists this ribosomal RNA (465 nucleotides) under uncultured bacterium. Its description in RNAcentral is "partial 16S ribosomal RNA". It matches the Rfam family "Bacterial small subunit ribosomal RNA", at positions 339 to 795 of the family's 1533-position model. The record is from RNAcentral.
CUACGGGGUGCUGCAGUGGGGAAUAUUGGACAAUGGGGGCAACCCUGAUCCAGCCAUGCCGCGUGUGUGAAGAAGGCCUUUUGGUUGUAAAGCACUUUAAGCAGGGAGGAGAGGCUAAUGGUUAAUACCCAUUAGAUUAGACGUUACCUGCAGAAUAAGCACCGGCUAACUCUGUGCCAGCAGCCGCGGUAAUACAGAGGGUGCGAGCGUUAAUCGGAAUUACUGGGCGUAAAGCGAGUGUAGGUGGCUCAUUAAGUCACAUGUGAAAUCCCCGGGCUUAACCUGGGAACUGCAUGUGAUACUGGUGGUGCUAGAAUAUGUGAGAGGGAAGUAGAAUUCCAGGUGUAGCGGUGAAAUGCGUAGAGAUCUGGAGGAAUACCGAUGGCGAAGGCAGCUUCCUGGCAUAAUAUUGACACUGAGAUUCGAAGGCGUGGGUAGCAAACAGGAUUAGAUACCCUUGUAGUC